Molecule: ribosomal RNA, 443 nt
Filed under: uncultured bacterium
Lineage: Bacteria
Description: partial 16S ribosomal RNA
Rfam family: Bacterial small subunit ribosomal RNA
Source: RNAcentral
CCUACGGGUGACUGCAGUGGGGAAUAUUGGGCAAUGGGUGCAAGCCUGACCCAGCAACGCCGCGUGAAGGAAGAAGGCUCUCGGGUUGUAAACUUCCUUUCUGAGGGACGAAGAAAGUGACGGUACCCCAGGAAUAAGCCACGGCUAACUACGUGCCAGCAGCCGCGGUAAUACGUAGGUGGCAAGCGUUAUCCGGAUUUAUUGGGUGUAAAGGGCGGGUAGGCGGGAAAGCAAGUCAGAUGUGAAAGCUCAGGGCUCAACCCUGGGCCUGCAUUUGAAACUGUUUUUCUUGAGUACUGGAGAGGCAAUCGGAAUUCCGUGUGUAGCGGUGAAAUGCGUAGAUAUACGGAGGAACACCAGUGGCGAAGGCGGAUUGCUGGACAGUAACUGACGCUGAGGCGCGAAAGCGUGGGGAGCAAACAGGAUUAGAUACCCUAGUAGUC